GUUUUGCGUGAGGGAUAGGAACGGCAUCCUUGUGGUGGGGUUCACCACAAAAGAUAUAGUGGAUAGCCUCCCGAUAGCUA
RNAcentral lists this small RNA (80 nucleotides) under Flavobacterium defluvii. RNAcentral's name for it is "Flavo-1 RNA". The stretch from base 13 to 68 matches the Rfam family "Flavo-1 RNA", at positions 10 to 67 of the family's 76-position model. Lineage: Bacteria; Pseudomonadati; Bacteroidota; Flavobacteriia; Flavobacteriales; Flavobacteriaceae. The record is from RNAcentral.